UACGGGGGGAGCAAGCGUUGUUCGGAUUUACUGGGCGUAAAGGGCGCGUAGGCGGCCUCCGCAAGUCAGUUGUGAAAUCUCCGAGCUUAACUCGGAAAGGUCAACUGAUACUGCGGGGCUAGAGUGCGGAAGGGGCAACUGGAAUUCUUGGUGUAGCGGUGAAAUGCGUAGAUAUCAAGAGGAACACCUGCGGCGAAGGCGGCGACCUGGGUAGGUACUGACGCUGAGGAGCGAAAGUGUGGGGAGCGAACAGG
RNAcentral lists this ribosomal RNA (254 nucleotides) under uncultured bacterium. Its description in RNAcentral is "partial 16S ribosomal RNA". It matches the Rfam family "Bacterial small subunit ribosomal RNA", at positions 524 to 776 of the family's 1533-position model. The record is from RNAcentral.